GUGGGGAAUUUUGGACAAUGGGCGCAAGCCUGAUCCAGCAAUGCCGCGUGCAGGAAGAAGGCCUUCGGGUUGUAAACUGCUUUUGUACGGAACGAAAAGGCUCUGGUUAAUACCUGGGGCUCAUGACGGUACCGUAAGAAUAAGCACCGGCUAACUACGUGCCAGCAGCCGCGGUAAUACGUAGGGUGCAAGCGUUAAUCGGAAUUACUGGGCGUAAAGCGUGCGCAGGCGGUUUUGUAAGACAGACGUGAAAUCCCCGGGCUCAACCGGGGAAUGGCGUUUGUGACUGCAAAGCUGGAGUGCGGGAGAGGGGGAUGGAAUUCCGCGUGUAGCAGUGAAAUGCGUAGAUAUGCGGAGGAACACCGAUGGCGAAGGCAAUCCCCUGGGCCUGCACUGACGCUCAUGCACGAAAGCGUGGGGAGCAAACAGGAUUAGAUACCCCGGUAGUCC
This 450-nucleotide ribosomal RNA is filed under the name uncultured bacterium. RNAcentral's name for it is "partial 16S ribosomal RNA". It matches the Rfam family "Bacterial small subunit ribosomal RNA", at positions 354 to 796 of the family's 1533-position model. The record is from RNAcentral.